Molecule: ribosomal RNA, 254 nt
Filed under: uncultured bacterium
Lineage: Bacteria
Description: partial 16S ribosomal RNA
Rfam family: Bacterial small subunit ribosomal RNA
Source: RNAcentral
UACGUAGGGUCCGAGCGUUGUCCGGAAUUACUGGGCGUAAAGAGCUCGUAGGUGGUUUGUCGCGUUGUUCGUGAAAACUCACAGCUCAACUGUGGGCGUGCGGGCGAUACGGGCAGACUAGAGUACUGCAGGGGAGACUGGAAUUCCUGGUGUAGCGGUGGAAUGCGCAGAUAUCAGGAGGAACACCGGUGGCGAAGGCGGGUCUCUGAGCAACAACUGACGCUGGAGGAGCGAAAGCGUGGGGAGCGAACAGG